UAUUGACUCAAUGAUCUAUAUAUCAACUACCAACAACAAUAUUAUUAUUUUGAAACCCACAAUACACAUUUUAGAAUCAAAAUAACAAAAUUCUUUGUUAACAUUUUGAAAUCCUAAGUCCCAAAAGAUAAGGAAUAUGCACGAAAAUGGAGGUUACGGCUAAGCAUAUUUCAAACAACUUCUAUGUCUUUACAUACCAUCCUUGUCUUAUUAUAUUUAAACUUUAAAUGUAGGUUAACUGUUUGGCGAGGAACCACCAAGGAGACUUAUGUUUUCUAUGACGAUCUUGAGUCAAUAAUUCAAGACAACUCCAUAACAAACAAUGUCAUAGAUGCAUAUGUAGAAAUUUUAAGAAGAAAGCAGGAAUCAAUGAUGACAGAUUCACAACAAUUUGACAAAUCAUUCUUUUUCAACAGCUUGUGUUUGAGCAUGAUUAAAGAUGAAAAAUUAGAACUCCAAGCCAAAUUCAUUGAUCCUCACAUCAAGCAAGCAAAUCAGUACCGAUAUCUGCACUUUCCACUCCACUUUAAGUAUCAUUGGACCAUAGUAGUGAGCGACAUGGAUGAUGGAGUGUGGAAGCACUACAAUUCAAUGAGGCCCAGAGAUGGUUUUGAAGACAUACACCUAGCUCAAGCAAACAUAGUGAUAAUUUCAAUAUUUCAUUCAAUAAUAUGAAAAAAUGUACAUCUUGAGUUACAUAUCAACGUAGUUAAAAUAUUAUCUAUUCUACACAUUUAAUCAUAUUCACAAUCGCAGAAGACAUAUAUCGAAUCACAUAUUCAGAAAUUGCUCUCCACAUCGGAUAUGGCAGAUACAUUAACACCCUCAGAUUAUGUCAAGCCAUUGCAAUCAGUUGAUGCAUGCUCUCAACAAGACCCAAAUUCUCUUAAUUACGGAGUUGCACUUUGUUACAUAAUGAGGCAACAUGCCCUUCAUGAACCAAUUGAACUUGUGCUGGACAAGGAAGCUUGGCUUGCUAUGAGAGUUCUAUUAGUUGAAGCAUUCCUGAAUGAUCCUGAAAGAACAAAUCAUCCAAGUUUUGUUGUUGACACCAACGAGGAUGCAUCUCAGAACUAGACUUCAUAUUUUCACACCCUACCAUUUUCUUUUGAUGUAUUGAUGAAACAAUGUUAACAUUAGCUUUUGUCCAAGUACAAUAUGUUUUGUAUAUAAUAUACCACUCACUAACAUGUGAACUUGGGUAUUGUUAGUUAGUAAACAAUCAUUACACAAAGAUGUUGAUAUGAAUAGCUAUAUACAUUUUGUUUACCAAGAAAUGUA
Molecule: non-coding RNA, 1281 nt
Organism: Camellia sinensis
Lineage: Eukaryota; Viridiplantae; Streptophyta; Magnoliopsida; Ericales; Theaceae
Source: RefSeq, a predicted model, not a curated record